Molecule: ribosomal RNA, 90 nt
Filed under: uncultured archaeon
Lineage: Archaea
Description: partial 16S ribosomal RNA
Source: RNAcentral
UCUGAGUGUUUCCGUUAGAGAAAUCUUUUGGCCCUCUAAAAAUGGUGCAAAAUAGGGGUGGGCAAGUCUGGUGCCAGCAGCCGCGGUUAU